GGAAGUGUGCCCGAACAAUUAAGGACUACUUUGAUAGAGUAGACAAUAGAGGCUAAAACCCACUCACUUCC
RNAcentral lists this transfer RNA (71 nucleotides) under Enyalioides laticeps. Its description in RNAcentral is "tRNA-Ile". The record is from RNAcentral. Lineage: Eukaryota; Metazoa; Chordata; Lepidosauria; Squamata; Hoplocercidae.